CCUAAAACACAAGAAACGAUGUCCCCAGUCAGAUUGGCCAUGCUAAUUACUGUACAUGACAAAUUAUCACCACAUAAAUUUUCAAAUGGCUUGGAUCCAGAGCCCAAGCUUUAACUAUAUUCGUGUACACAACACAAAGGAGGCAUCCUUGUUCCUGCACUUGGGGAAGGCUACCUAUGCUACAGAUUUUAAUUUCUGAUUUCCUCGAUGUUAUUAAAGCCAAUAUGUUAUCCUGUCACCAGGAACUCAGUAGCUUGGGCUUUUGGACUUUCAAAUAGAAGAAAGGCCGAUGGCCGUUAAUUUUUCGCAAGUGAAAAAAGAGUCAAUUGACCUCUUACAAAAAAGUUUUUAAGGGCUAAAUUGACCUCUGGACCAAUGUGAUGGAUCCCUGCUAGGCGUUCACAAGUUAAGUAAUAGGAGGAAACACAAAGGAAACAGUAUGACAGAAAGAAUAUAAAACUGAUGGUCAAGUGCGCAUAAGGGCACCUAGAUGCAAGAAUUAUCUUUGAAGUAUAGGUUGUUUACCUUGAACAUCCAUUCAGUUGCGAAAAACUGGGCUUCAUCAUUGUUGGCAUCACUGUUAGAUAUGCCCUCGGCAAGGGGCUCCAGUUGUUGGGGCAAAGUAAGAAGAUAUUCACCAACACUGGUAACAUAUGAUUGUGGAUACGCACUGAAGAUCGGAAGAGGGAAGGCACUCUGUUCCUCUACUGAGGACCAAAUUGGCAAGCGAGACACAUCAUUGAGGCGUAGACGUACUUUAGAUAUGAGUACAUCAUACACAAGCUCAUUCACUGUGUCAGCAAAUGCUGCGACUCUUUGAGAUGCCAGCGGAAGUGCAUGAAACCGAGGAUCUUUGGACUGCAAGAUGACAUGCAACAGUCCGUUAUUAUGAUCUGAGCAUCAUGGAAACAGCAAAGGAGAAAGAAAGGGAUCUUUGAAGCCAAAAAAUAAGCAUCAUUGGCAUGUAAUUCCAAAUGCAAAAAAAAUUAAAUUAGAAACAAAUCUAAAAGAAUUAACUGCAGAGUAGACACGGUUCAUGGUUCCUACUCAUAACCCUCUUGACUAUCCAAGAAAUAAGAGAGGAUGGAAAAAAGGAAGAUGAAGAUACUAAACCCAUGUACCUGAUCUAAAAGGUUAAAUAAUUUCCGAGCCUUCUCAGGAACAUCAACAAGCCGAACAGCUGCCACAUCCAAAGCAGCCCUUCCACCUAAUGA
This is a long non-coding RNA of Ricinus communis (castor bean), 1214 nucleotides long. RefSeq lists it as uncharacterized. Lineage: Eukaryota; Viridiplantae; Streptophyta; Magnoliopsida; Malpighiales; Euphorbiaceae. The transcript is spliced from 2 exons. The record is from RefSeq and is a predicted model, not a curated record.